UUAGGAAGCUGAAAGUCAGAGCUUUUAAGUCAUGUUCAUUUAAUUCUCUGUGGAGAUUUUCUGAGUUCCUUUCUGUUCAUUGACAGGAUUUUCAAGGAAGAGAAGUGUUACUUUCUUCUUAACCUGGGUCUCUGUGGAAUUACGUGCACACUUGUAUAAUGUCCACAGUGUUCCAUGUCCUGUACGGAAAGCUGAGGAAAGGAGUGAUACCCUUAUUUCAUUGAUAUGAAGUUUUGGAUUUACUGAUGUGCUUAUGUUCUUCAAGUAAUGAGUCAGCCUGUAAGAGACUCCUCUGAUAAGUAAAACUUUAAAAAAUCAAGGAAAGAAAGAAAAACUCUCUUGCAGAGAUGAUGAAAGGCAAUAUGGAAAGAUAGGGACCAACUCCUUCAGGAUGAUUUUAUCUCCAAUAAUAUUGAACUGGGGAAAUGCAACAACAAUGCCUUCUCUGCUGGGUGUCUUACACUGAAGAAGCAGGGGCCUAGUUUUGGCUCUACCAGGCCAAAUCAUCAUCUGGGCUGGGGGACUGAAGGAGGACAGCACUGCCUCCCUAUGAACUGGCUGGGAACUGGUCUAAAGUGUGGACAUGGGUACUGGAAUGUGGGAGACAUCUUAUACAGAAAAGGCCUGCACAUACAAGCUGCGCAUACAAGCUUACAUUUCAGGAUGAAACAAAAGCUAAAAGGUAUUGAAGCAUAUGUUUAAAGCAAACUCUGAAUUUCUUCACUCAGCAGGUUCCUAGACAGUAAUGUUCUCUUGUUGCUGGUCAGAGGUCGCAUCAUUUAUAUACUGGUUCCUUGCCACAUGAGUUACAAGGUUUGCUGAUACGCCCAGAUGACUUAAUAUUCAAAAACCAAAUUGGAUAUUCAUAGGCUAUAUUGGAAUAGCUCUGCCUUUGGUGCUUUUCAUGGUCUAACUUUUUUACUAUUAUAUAUUUGAUGCUCCAUUAUAGCAUGAUAGCUUUACUUUUUCUCCAGGGAUUUAUAGCAUACUAACCUCAGGCACACAUCAGAGAAGUUAAUGACAGAGCCUGAAUUUGAUUUGUGUCUCCAGACUGUUUAGCAGAUUAGAACUGCUUUUCUUCUCCUUCAGUAGCAUAGAAAAGGUGAUGUGCAGCUUUGACAGUUUGUAUGAAGUGGGAGCAUAAGCUUUCAGGACCGGAGGUAGUAAGUGGGCAAAGUCCCUUAAAUCUUUCUCAUGCGCUAUUCUGAUCCCCGUCUUUCUGGGUAAAUUCCCAUCUGUGAUGCUGCAGGCCAUGUAUCAAGCAUUCAUGUAGUGUAACAGGUACAUUUUACUUCCAGCCUUCCACAGGUAGGAGGCAUUCCUAUUGCAAAUUCACCUGUAGAUAUUGUAGUGGAAUGCAUUUCUUCUUUUAUCAUGCAGAGAAAAACAUUUUUGUUAUAAACCACAUGAGCACCUAGAAAUCUCCGGGGAGGACUUGUUAGCUUGCCUGUUUGGAGUGUGCGCUCUGAACAGACAAAGGAGGAAGAAUACUCUGUAUACUUUAUGCUGUAUUUCAGUGCAAUUGAUGUGAAAUUUAUCAGAAUCACAGAAUUGAAAAAAGUGUCGGAAGGGACGUCUGGACUACUCCAACUCCCCUGCUAGAAGCGGGUUCUCUACAAUGGUUUACACAGGAAAGCUUCCAGGUAGGUUUUGACUGUCUCAAAUGAGAUAUGUCUAUGAGGUCUUUCCUCAUGUUCAGAUGAAACUUUCGUGUGCUCCAGUUUGUGCCCAUUUUUAAUUGUUCUGUCAUUGGGUACUGUUGAAAAGACCCUGGCUCCAUCCACUUGACUCCUGCCCAUUGUAAGCGUUUAUAAGAUUUCCUCCCCUUUCCAACCCCCAAGUCUUCCCUUCUCCCAAAUUUGUCAUUGGCAUGUAAAAAAGUUAACUGCAUAGUGAUGUGACCAUGUUUGUUGUUUCUAUUUAUUAUUAAUAAACCUGGUAGUCGACUAAUUUGGCA
Molecule: long non-coding RNA, 1957 nt
Organism: Coturnix japonica (Japanese quail)
Lineage: Eukaryota; Metazoa; Chordata; Aves; Galliformes; Phasianidae
Source: Ensembl